GUCGAGCGAAUGGAUUACGAGCUUGCUCUUAUGAAGUUAGCGGCGGACGGGUGAGUAACACGUGGGUAACCUACCCAUAAGACUGGGAUAACUCCGGGAAACCGGGGCUAAUACCGGAUAAUAUUUUGAACUGCAUAGUUCGAAAUUGAAAGGCGGCUUCGGCUGUCACUUAUGGAUGGACCCGCGUCGCAUUAUCUAGUUGGUGAGGUAACGGCUCACCAAGGCGACGAUGCGUAGCCGACCUGAGAGGGUGAUCGGCCACACUGGGACUGAGACACGGCCCAGACUCCUAC
RNAcentral lists this ribosomal RNA (293 nucleotides) under Bacillus sp. DA40. RNAcentral's name for it is "partial 16S ribosomal RNA". It matches the Rfam family "Bacterial small subunit ribosomal RNA", at positions 61 to 342 of the family's 1533-position model. The record is from RNAcentral. Lineage: Bacteria; Bacillati; Bacillota; Bacilli; Caryophanales; Bacillaceae.